Molecule: transfer RNA, 65 nt
Filed under: Diapriidae sp. ZJUH_2016010
Lineage: Eukaryota; Metazoa; Arthropoda; Insecta; Hymenoptera; Diapriidae
Description: tRNA-Asn
Source: RNAcentral
UUAAUUGAAACCUUUAGGUAAAUUAUUGUUAAUAAUUUUUUUUGAAUAAAUUUAUUCCAAUUAAU